CAGUAGCCGCGGUAAUACGAAGGGUGCAAGCGUUAAUCGGAAUUACUGGACGUAAAGCGUGCGUAGGCGGUGAGUUAAGUCUGCUGUGAAAUCCCCGGGCUCAACCUGGGAAUGGCAGUGGAUACUGGCUCGCUAGAGUGUGUCAGAGGAUGGUGGAAUUCCCGGUGUAGCGGUGAAAUGCGUAGAGAUCGGGAGGAACAUCAGUGGCGAAGGCGGCCAUCUGGGACAACACUGACGCUGAGGCACGAAAGCGUGGGGAGCAAACAGGAUUAGAUACCCCCGUAGUCCCUGUCUCUUAUAC
This 301-nucleotide ribosomal RNA is filed under the name uncultured bacterium. RNAcentral's name for it is "partial 16S ribosomal RNA". It matches the Rfam family "Bacterial small subunit ribosomal RNA", at positions 509 to 807 of the family's 1533-position model. The record is from RNAcentral.